Molecule: non-coding RNA, 341 nt
Filed under: Auxenochlorella protothecoides
Lineage: Eukaryota; Viridiplantae; Chlorophyta; Trebouxiophyceae; Chlorellales; Chlorellaceae
Source: RNAcentral
UACCUUGCCCCGGCGCCACGCCCUCCCCGCCCCGACACGGCCGUCCAAGUACGGUCUGGUAACCCUAAGUUCACAGUGAUCGCCCGUACCCUGAGGCGUUCAUCCCCCCCCCACGCCGGGCUUUCUACAGGGGUCUUCCCCGGCUGCGCCCAAGCAAACCCCGAAGCGGGGAGGGAGGGGCCGGGUGCCGGGUUGGGGGCGGAUCCCCCCCUCCCCGGCGCUGCCUGCACCAGGGGUAGCAGAGCUUGGGGUCGGUCCUGCGUGGCCUCACCCUAUGAAUGGUUUGUCCAUGCCCUCUGCUCGUUCCGGUAUGGUCGGCAAGACACAUGCCCCAAUCUUUU